Danio rerio (zebrafish) is the source of this 89-nucleotide non-coding RNA. The record is from Rfam. NCBI's taxonomy places the organism in Eukaryota, Metazoa, Chordata, Actinopteri, Cypriniformes, Danionidae.
GGCUCUGUGGCGCAAUGGAUAGUGCAUUGGACUUCUAGGCUGUGAGCUGAGCCAUUCAAAGGUUGUGGGUUCGAGUCCCACCAGAGUCG